GGCUGCGGUAUGCCCCUUUGAGCGUCAUUGUAUCCCUUCGGGAGUCCUUUUACAAGGACCCGAGCUCGGAGUCCUCGGUCCUCUCUGGAUCGUGUUCUCUCAGAUGCCUCGCRCCGAUCGCCUGAUGGGUCCUCUAAUGCCUAAGCGUGGAGUUCCUUCAGUCCGAGACGCGCUYGACCGGGUCYUGAGCCUGYGUCAUCAAGUCUGCCUAACCAGCGGUACUACAACGCAUGACCUCAUUGGGGUAGGACAACCCGCUAGACUUAAGCAUAUUAAUCAGCGGAGGAAAAGAAACUAACCAGGAUUCCCUCAGUAACUGCGAGUGAAGCGGGAUCGGCUCAAUGUGUGAAUCUGGCUUGGGGUACGUCCCGGGUCCGAGUUGUGCACUACGGAUGCUUCGUCUGCGUUUGUAAAGGCGGUGGAAGUCCGUUGAAACACGGCACCUCAGAGGGUCACAGUCCUGUACCACCUGCCUGCACUCGCGCCAAUGACAAGUGCUCCUCGAGUCGCGUAGUUUUGUAAUGCUGCGCCAAGUGGGAGGUAGAGACCUUCUAAGGCUAAAUAUGAUGACGUGACCGAUAGCACACAAGUACCGCGAGGGAAAGGUGAAAAGCAACCAUGAAAAAUGGGUUGAAACAGUAGUGAAAGCGCUACCGGGAUAAGGGCUAUCGGGUGCUGGGGCUCUUUGGGUGUGCUUUAGUGCUACCCUCGGAGACGGCCCGCGAGGGUUGAYGUUGGGGCGAUAGACGCGCYGCAGGAAUUCGGCUGCCUUC
RNAcentral lists this ribosomal RNA (773 nucleotides) under uncultured Tulasnella. Its description in RNAcentral is "LSU rRNA". The stretch from base 232 to 773 matches the Rfam family "Eukaryotic large subunit ribosomal RNA", at positions 1 to 550 of the family's 3401-position model. Lineage: Eukaryota; Fungi; Basidiomycota; Agaricomycetes; Cantharellales; Tulasnellaceae. The record is from RNAcentral.